CCUACGGGCGGCAGCAGUGGGGAAUAUUGGACAAUGGGCGAAAGCCUGAUCCAGCCAUGCCGCGUGUGUGAAGAAGGCCUUCGGGUUGUAAAGCACUUUCAGUGGGGAAGAAAGCCUUGGGGCUAAUACCCUCGAGGAAGGACAUCACCUACAGAAGAAGCACCGGCUAACUCCGUGCCAGCAGCCGCGGUAAUACGGAGGGUGCGAGCGUUAAUCGGAAUUACUGGGCGUAAAGCGCGCGUAGGCGGUCUGAUAAGCCGGUUGUGAAAGCCCCGGGCUCAACCUGGGAACGGCAUCCGGAACUGUCAGGCUAGAGUGCAGGAGAGGAAGGUAGAAUUCCCGGUGUAGCGGUGAAAUGCGUAGAGAUCGGGAGGAAUACCAGUGGCGAAGGCGGCCUUCUGGACUGACACUGACGCUGAGGUGCGAAAGCGUGGGUAGCAAACAGGAUUAGAUACCCCAGUAGUC
RNAcentral lists this ribosomal RNA (465 nucleotides) under Vreelandella stevensii. RNAcentral describes it as "partial 16S ribosomal RNA". It matches the Rfam family "Bacterial small subunit ribosomal RNA", at positions 338 to 795 of the family's 1533-position model. The record is from RNAcentral. Lineage: Bacteria; Pseudomonadati; Pseudomonadota; Gammaproteobacteria; Oceanospirillales; Halomonadaceae.